This 76-nucleotide transfer RNA is filed under the name Candidatus Falkowbacteria bacterium CG1_02_41_21. RNAcentral's name for it is "tRNA-Lys". It matches the Rfam family "tRNA". From Rfam's summary of the family: Transfer RNA (tRNA) molecules are approximately 80 nucleotides in length. Lineage: Bacteria; Candidatus Falkowiibacteriota. RNAcentral also lists the same sequence under 1 other name. The record is from RNAcentral.
GCGCUGUUAGCUCAGCUGGUAGAGCAGCUCGCUCUUAACGAGAAGGUCGAAGGUUCGAAUCCUUCACGGCGCACAA